Kogia breviceps (pygmy sperm whale) is the source of this 1494-nucleotide non-coding RNA. Lineage: Eukaryota; Metazoa; Chordata; Mammalia; Artiodactyla; Physeteridae. The record is from RefSeq and is a predicted model, not a curated record.
AGGCAGGUCUGCUCGCCGCUGUUCUUUGCUGAGCCUUGAUAAAGUGCGAGCCCUACUCAAAUACCAAGCUUCGUUCCUACGCCCCACUGCUGCCAAAGCCGAGUCCGAAAACCUGCACGUUCUCACGGCCCCCGAGCCCCCAGGCCUUGCCUGCCCUCAAUCAGAGGGAAUGACUGAUACUACUUGCCCUUGGUGGCUCUUUAAGACAACAGUCUCCAUUACCAACAGAGAUGGUUUUCAAAGUGUGGUGGCGGAAUGGAAGCCUUCAAAAGAAGGACUAAUCCGAAGCCCGAUGUGUAAAACAGUGGAGGCUGCACUGCAACGAGUGGCCCGGCAAGUGUGAAGCCCUUGGGCUCCGCAGGGCACAGUUUGAAAAUCUCUGGCCUGUGGGAUAAAGUGGUCACUCUUUCUUGGGCGGCUGUAAUUUUCUGCCUCUGCUCACCCUUUGAGGGCUCUCCCCCAGCCAAGGCCUUACCCUCAGCCCACUGACCUUGUUAACACACAUCCUCCCAGUGUGACCUCAUCCAAAUGGCCACCUAACACGUCAACAAGGUUGGUUCCGCUGGCAAGGAAGAAGGGGAGGAGGGCAGAGUGUACCACGGCCAGGAAUAAUCUGGCCCCUGCUUUCCUCUCCACCUCCAGCUCCUGCUCUUUCCCCGCAUGUAACCUUCUCUCGGGUCACUCCAAAUAUCUCCCAUUUUUAGACAUUUUAAGCUCUGCUUGAUAUGUAGUAUAUUAAAUUAACUAUUGCUGAGAAGCAAAUCCCCCAGAACUUUUUCAUGGCUUACAAAACCAGUAAUCGCUUAUAUGACUCUCGGUUCUGGCUUAGGUUCCCUCAUGAGACCACAGUUAAGAUGUUGGCCAGGGCUGCGGUCACCACUGCGGCUGGAGGAUUCCCUGCUGAGAUGACUUAGUCACCUGACUGUAGUGUGUAUAUGACUGACUCGAGGAGGUGACAGUGUGAGGCUUCAGAGACCAGGUCAUAAAGUCACAGGUUCUUUGUGCUGGCUUUUUUCUUGGAUGGCCUACUCUUGGGAAAACUGUGAGCAGUCCUGUAGGGGUCCACGUGACACUGAGGUGUUCUACCAACAACCCUUCGAGUGAAGCUCAUGGAAAGUGGCUUCCCAGCCCCAGUCAAGCCUUUGGAUGACUGCAGACCCUGCCAGCAUCUUGGCCACAACCUUGUAAGAGACCCAGAACCACUAGCUCAGGACGACUCAGCUGUGUCACUCCCAGACUCCCAAUCCUCGGGAGCUGAGUGAAAAAAUAAGUGUUUGUUGUCUUAAGUUCCUGAAUUUGAGGGUAAUUUGUUAUGUAGCAAUAGAUAAUUAAUUCAUCAGUGCUGAAAAGUUACCUGAUAAUAUUUUCAUAUUUGGAUUAGAAAGUUCUGGAUAAAUCCAAGUACGUUUUUUCCUACUAAGGUCAUGACUUUGUAAUUAUUCUUGCUCCUAUCCUUUCAACAUAAGCUCAAAAGAUUCUUUUGUCUCUAUUAUU